Molecule: non-coding RNA, 26 nt
Filed under: Mus musculus (house mouse)
Lineage: Eukaryota; Metazoa; Chordata; Mammalia; Rodentia; Muridae
Source: RNAcentral
GAUGGAGACGUGCUGGGUUGCUUGUG